GUUUAAAUAGUUUAAUAAAAAUUUUGAUUUGUGGAGUCAAGGAUGUAAUUUUUACUUUAGACC
RNAcentral lists this transfer RNA (63 nucleotides) under Neoneuromus similis. Its description in RNAcentral is "tRNA-His". The record is from RNAcentral. Lineage: Eukaryota; Metazoa; Arthropoda; Insecta; Megaloptera; Corydalidae.